Molecule: long non-coding RNA, 1115 nt
Organism: Nymphalis io (European peacock)
Lineage: Eukaryota; Metazoa; Arthropoda; Insecta; Lepidoptera; Nymphalidae
Exons: 3
Source: RefSeq, a predicted model, not a curated record
AUUCUGAAUACAACUUUAGCGGCUGUAAGGAUAUAUAGUCUUAUACUUAUUGUACUAUUUGCAUUGAAUGUUCUCAAGGGGAUCGUCAUCAAUUGGGCUCUUGAGAAGAUGGAAUCUCCCAACCCAACGCAUUGAGAUAAAGAUAUAUCUAUUGACGACCUUGAGGAGAACGGCAGCCUGGAUGACCUCGCGCUGCCGUACGCACUAGCGAAGUGCGUGGGAGCGAGAUUACCCCUGAGGAGAGCUCCGCCAAGCCACGAGCGGAGCACAGCACGGGAGGUGCCGCGGAUGCGUUAUAUCAAUACAAUCCCGUAGCCUCUUCAAUCCUUGGCGGCCAUCACAGUGGUUUUAGUGGGUAAGAAUCCCACAUAAUCUGUUGUGUUGUGUGUGUUGUAAUGUGCAGUAGUCAUUAGAAAUAAAAAAAAAACAAAAAGCUAUUUCUUUUUGAGAGAUAUUUAGACAGUUACUUUAUUUUACUAUGUAUUUUUCUUUUGACUAUUUGGAAUGUUUGUGGAUAUAUUUAUUACUUUACCCAAGUUUAACAUAUUUAUUGCACUUUAAAAAAACUAACAUUAUGAAUAAAAGACUACAAAAAUAUUGGUUUUUAACAUUUUAUUUAUAAAAUAUAAUUGAUUAUAUUUUAUUUUAUAAUAUCAACAUUUUAUUUUAAAUUCUGAAUAUAUCACAACAAUAAAAACUCUUAGGAAGAUUAUGAAGCUAUGUAAAAAGUUACAAUAUCAAAAAUACAAAAUACAUUUAACUAUGAUUAGAAAAUAAUAUCAACAAGGCACAUGAAAAGCACCUCAAUUAAUUAUUGCUUUAUAUAUAUAUAUAUUGUCAAUACUCUUUAGAGCUUUUAUAUAUUUCUCUUAAAUAAAUACUAUUAGUCUUAUUUGUCAAUUUUUACUAAUUUAAGUUCAAUGUUGUUUAUUUGAAGCUAGAUCACAUUAUACUGCAAUAGCAAAACAACCUUUGUAAAAUACAAUAUUUCUUGGAUUUACAAUUAGACAAAUAUAUCAUCUAGAUGAAAUAUAAUAUUUUGGUAGCUCUAAUGAUAUCUUAAUCUAGUUAUAGGAAUCUCUGUUAUUUUUAUUCAAUUUAUAAUGUCCAAAAAU